UUAAAGGGACACACAAAAACUAUGUGUUUUUGCUCACACCCAAAUUUGACAAGCUAUAAUAAAUGAUCUGUGGGGUAUAAAAGGGGCAUAAAUAAUAGCUACUACCAAUCAGCUGUGCCCUAUAGGGAAUGAUGUGAUUGCAAGCAGAUUGAGUUAAGGACCUAUCAGCCUGCGGCAUCUAGAGUUUCAUGACAGAACUUUGUAUGUAUGCUAAUGCAGACGUGUUGUUAUUCAGGUAGUCAUUUAGCCUCAGAUGUCACGCCCGCAGACCGUUGGCUGAACGACUGAUGCAAAUGGCACAUAAAAUUGGAAACACUUCAGGAGUUGUAAAGUCGUUAUCUGAUCUGGUUGAAUUCUACAGGGUUUCUGGGAGACAUUUGUGUCGCAUUCUUUAACAGUCCGCUUAAAAACAAAGUCGUCCUGAUGCCAAACCCCCUCAUGGAAAAAGAAAGCCAUCGUGUUUACAACUGUAAAGGAUUAGAAUUAUGUGAAGAAUGUGAAGUUUGGGGUGAAUACUUCCAAGUGUUUUACACGCUGGUCUGUUAUUGUUGGGACAUUGCCGUUACAUUUUCACGCCCCUAAACAAACUGUGAUUGGUUGCUUUACAUGUCAGUCAGAUGUCCUUUUUGGCCAAUGAAAGCUGCUAUGGAGUACCUUCCGCUGUCGUUCUGAAAGUCUACGUGAGACUAUCAUGUAGGUUCACACUCUGGUGUCUGCCUGUAGGUAUGUAACAUGUAAAAGUAGGGUUUUAAUGGCAAGAAUGAGGCAUAAACCACGAAAAAAAUGUGAGGGGGCACCUCUUUUCCUCUUCGACACACAAUCCAUGUCAUCACCCUCGAACUUAGUACGCAAGACCACCAAAAAAAAAAAAAAAAACAAGGAGCAGAACAAUAUUUACUCAGCAGUAAUUUUCUAUGGAAUUUUUUGGAAGAUAAUUUGAAAAAGUCAGCUCGGGUGUCUACAAUAGGCCCUUUGAGCAGCUCAGUUUGAGUCUGGAUUUGGAGUGCAGCCAGAGAACCAGCUCUCUUAAAAUCACAGAAUAAAGGAGGCCUUUUAUUGAAAAGCAAGAAAGCAGACGCACACACGUUCAGUUACCCACCGCUGUCGACACACUGACACGCCUGUUUCUCCUGUGACUGACGUUUGCUUGUACGUUUCGCGGUCAAAUUUGCCUCAAUCUGAUGCUUUAUUGUUCUCUCAGUUUGAGUUAAUAGGCAGUGCUGUGUGAGAGUUUCUGUUGUUUUUAAUUAUUUGACAUGAUCGCACUCAUUACAAAUGGAAAUGCUAUUAGUGCUGGACAGCGGUGGGCUGUUUUAUGUGUUUGUGUUGUUAAACGGGUUUAAUAUACAACAGAUUGCAGCUGGAUGGUUGUAGAUAAGCAGACUUUGUUUGGAAGUAGUGCGAAGCGUUUGUUGCAAAUCCUUCCAAAUGUACCUGUAAAGCAGGUGGGUGGUCAGUUUAAAGGAUGUGUGUAAUAACAAACAAUCCUCAUUAUUUCACCCAGUGACGUACAUGGAGGUGAACCGGCACCUAUUAGAUUCGGCAAUUGUUUGUUUUUAAUAAAAAUCCCCUGUUUACCUCAAGCUUUCUCCAUAAAGGGAAAAUAUAUUACCUUUCCUUGGCACUCAAAUCCUAAAAUUCCUCAUAAAAGUUUGCUUUGGGUGGUGCGUUUGCAGAUGGCGUUGAGGAUGCUAGCACUCUCCCUGUGUGCACAUUUAUUUUCGUCUAUUAAACCGAAUACACUAAACAAAGACAUACGUUCAACGUCAGUAAACCUAAUUGACUCUGCUGCUAAUCAGACCAGCUCGCUUGAGCAAGAAACAGAAGAAUAAAAAAAGUUAUUUUCAUUUUUUUAUUUUUUUUAUUUUUCGUUUGCAGCUUUUUGAAAAUACCAUCAUACAUAUACACACAUCUCCAUAUAGACAAAAGAAAAGUAUAAAAAAGAGCUUCCCAAAUUAAACAGGGAAAAUUAGAGGCAGAUCUUAUCAAAAAUAUUCACAAAUAUUUCAAUACUUCAUACUGCAGAGAUUUUUUCCAGUUUGGAUAUUCCUAACAACAACAAUAAAAAAAAAAUGUUUUCAAUUACAAACCCUUCUUCUUUUAAGCAGAAGGUUGCACAAUUUCAUUUUUACAUUUUUAUUUUAUUUAAUUUUUUUUGGAAACAUCAUUUGACAGGUUGUAGAACAAGUGCUAAAAUAGUAACACAUUUCCUC
This is a long non-coding RNA of Megalobrama amblycephala (Wuchang bream), 2213 nucleotides long. RefSeq lists it as uncharacterized. NCBI's taxonomy places the organism in Eukaryota, Metazoa, Chordata, Actinopteri, Cypriniformes, Xenocyprididae. The transcript is spliced from 2 exons. The record is from RefSeq and is a predicted model, not a curated record.